GGAGAGGUGGCAGAGUGGUCGAAUGCGGCGGUCCCGAAAACCGUUGCCUCGCAAGGGGCCCUGGGUUCGAAUCCCAGCCUCUCCGCCA
Molecule: transfer RNA, 88 nt
Filed under: Candidatus Omnitrophota bacterium
Lineage: Bacteria; Pseudomonadati; Candidatus Omnitrophota
Description: tRNA-Ser
Rfam family: tRNA
About the family: Transfer RNA (tRNA) molecules are approximately 80 nucleotides in length.
Source: RNAcentral